This 354-nucleotide ribosomal RNA is filed under the name uncultured bacterium. RNAcentral's name for it is "bacterial SSU rRNA". It matches the Rfam family "Bacterial small subunit ribosomal RNA", at positions 1034 to 1388 of the family's 1533-position model. The record is from RNAcentral.
ACAGGUGGUGCAUGGUUGUCGUCAGCUCGUGUCGUGARAUGUUGGGUUAAGUCCCGCAACGAGCGCAACCCUUAUCUUUAGUAGCCAGCAUUUAAGGUGGGCACUCUAGRGAGACUGCCAGGGAUAACCUGGAGGAAGGUGGGGAUGACGUCAAAUCAUCAUGCCCCUUAUGAHCAGGGCUACACACGUGCUACAAUGGCGUAAACAAAGGGAAGCGAAACCGUGAVSUGGAGCAAAUCYCAAAAAUAACGUCUCAGUUCGGAUUGUAGUCUGCAACUCGACUACAUGAAGCUGGAAUCGCUAGUAAUCGCGAAUCAGAAUGUCGCGGGGAAUACGUUCCCGGGUCUUGUACAC